UCCUUCGCCGCUGCCCGUGCUAAUCUACCCGGGAGAGGGCAGCGUGCCGGGGAAGUCGAGCCCUCCUGCAGGGCCCGGCCUCGUCCCGCAAGGGGGCCCGUCCCCUUGACCAGGCACUGCCCUGUGAUCUGGGACGGAGCCUUGGGGAAAAGACACCCUCAGUGACCGUGUUUAGGGAAAUGAGCGGGAGCAAGACACGCCACCAGCCAGCAAGACCGCCCAGGGAAACAGUCGCCUGACGAAUAUGCCAUCUAUUUUGGAUCCAUUACUAGAGAUGGUGAUCCCCAGCUGCCCUGAGGCUGAAGAAGUGAGGACCCUUAAGCCACAGCCUAAAAGGACUAAAAGCCUAAAAAUGUGGGGGUUUGGAGAUUGAGGAUGCUUCCAUCUUGUGCUACCACUAUCUUGGGUGCAUGACUUCAGAUCACAGCCAAAACGCAAGAGAGAGCUACAUAAUAUUCCCAGAAGAGAUAUGAACGUGAAGGGGAAAGUGGUUUUCAUCAUUUUCUUCCACUUCACAUUAGAUAGAACUGUUCAUGUGGUCCCAAGUUAAUUACAAGGAAGUCUUGCGAAUAUGAUCUCCCUGUGUGCCAAGGAAAAGGAAAUGGUUUUGUGAAUAUCUAACCAUUUUCUAACACACUCUACCCUUUUGACCAUUAAUUAUCAAUUUUACUUGUCCUUUAUUACAUAUAAUAUACUCACUGCCUCGCCAAAGAAGAAAAAGCAAAGUCCUUUCCAGUGACUGCAUCAAGUUCCACAUGCAGUAUAUUUAGCAAGGCGCAGUCCUCUCCAAAAGUUGAGCUAUGAUUUCUUUUAUAUUGGUGACCUAUUAACUAAACGAAAAUGUUCCUUAGCUGCCUCCCCCCACCUUCCACCUCCACGCACUAUGCCCAGUGGUGGAGCAUAGAAAGAACAGAAUUUUCCGUUCAGAAAGAGAAAGAAUAGAAGACAUACAGUGGAAGCUGUGUCCUUACAAUUCUGAAAUCCCAAUGGAAAGACUUUUUGAAAGUCCACCACCUUGAGUAUGGGGGGAUGGGGAUGUUACCUAAAUCAGGCAUCCUUUCCCUAGAAGGAUUUGUUUUUUCUCUUUUCUCCAUGGCCCCUUGAUUUACCCCCUGGGGUAAAUCCUCUUAGUUCUCUACUCUCCCUGGCUACAUCUGAAGUAAGCAUUAGUGAGAAUACUUUCACUGGGGCUGUAAACCUCCAAAGGGGGUCUCUCAUUUUCAUAGAAACUUGGGAGUUCAAGGUUUUACUAUCAUUCUUUUUGUUGUUGUUAAGUCAGAAACAUUCAAAAACUUUAGUUCAAAUUUGUGAUUUUUUUCCAAUAAAAUUCUAUCAAACCAA
Molecule: long non-coding RNA, 1341 nt
Organism: Canis lupus familiaris (dog)
Lineage: Eukaryota; Metazoa; Chordata; Mammalia; Carnivora; Canidae
Exons: 3
Source: RefSeq, a predicted model, not a curated record